CCUACGGGUGGCAGCAGUGAGGAAUAUUGGUCAAUGGACGAGAGCCUGAACCAGCCAAGUAGCGUGAAGGAUGACGGCCCUAUGGGUUGUAAACUGCUUUUAUAUGGGAAUAAAAUGUUCCACGUGUGGGGGUUUGUAUGUACCAUAUGAAUAAGGAUCGGCUAACUCCGUGCCAGCAGCCGCGGUAAUACGGAGGAUCCGAGCGUUAUCCGGAUUUAUUGGGCUUAAAGGGAGCGUAGGUGGAUUGUUAAGUCAGUUGUGAAAGUUUGCGGCUCAACCGGAGAAUUGCAGUUGAAACUGGCAGUCUUGAGUACAGUAGAGGUGGGCGGAAUUCGUGGUGUAGCGGUGAAAUGCUUAGAUAUCACGAAGAACUCCGAUUGCGAAGGCAGCUCACUGGACUGCAACUGACGCUGAGGCUCGAAAGUGUGGGUAUCAAACAGGAUUAGAUACCCCGGUAGUC
RNAcentral lists this ribosomal RNA (460 nucleotides) under uncultured bacterium. Its description in RNAcentral is "partial 16S ribosomal RNA". It matches the Rfam family "Bacterial small subunit ribosomal RNA", at positions 338 to 795 of the family's 1533-position model. The record is from RNAcentral.